UUCCAGCUCCAAUAGCGUAUAUUAAAGUUGUUGCGGUUAAAAAGCUCGUAGUUGGUUCUGCGUGCCGCGCUGUCGGUUCGCCGCCUGUCGGUGUUACUGGCAUGUCGCGGCAUGUCCUGUCGGUGGUGAAUGAAAUCCCCGGUGCUACGUAGGCUUUUAUUAGCUGAAGUUUGUGCCGUGGUGACUUCAUUUGCCGAUUUCUCCUACUCCGGUGCUCUUAAACGAGUGUCGAGGUAGGCCGACACGUUCACUUUGAACAAAUUAGAGUGCUUAAAGCAGGCUAAAAUAUCUGCCUGAAUAGUGGUGCAUGGAAUAAUAAAAUAGGACCUCGGUUCUAUUUUAUUGGUUUUAGGAAUAUGAGGUAAUGAUCAAUGUGGACUGGCGGGGGCAUUCGUAUUGCGACGUUAGAGGUGAAAUUCUUGGAUCGUCGCAAGACGCACUAGAGCGAAAGCAUUUGCCAAGUAUGUCUUAAUUGAUCAAGAACGAAAGUUAGAGGUUCGAAGGCGAUCAGAUACCGCCCUAGUUCUAACCAUAAACGAUGCCAGCCAGCGAUCCGCCGAUGUUCCUUUAAUGACUCGGCGGGGAGCUUCUA
RNAcentral lists this ribosomal RNA (592 nucleotides) under Toxopus griswoldi. RNAcentral describes it as "SSU rRNA". It matches the Rfam family "Eukaryotic small subunit ribosomal RNA", at positions 583 to 1092 of the family's 1831-position model. Lineage: Eukaryota; Metazoa; Arthropoda; Insecta; Hemiptera; Reduviidae. The record is from RNAcentral.